GUUGUGGUUAAAAAGCUCGUAGUUGGAUCUCAACAGCCUUGAAGCGGUUAACUUUGUAGUUUUACUGCUUUAUAGGCUGUGCUUUUGCUGGAGGUUUAGGGGUGCUCUUGAUCGAGUGUCUCUGAAUGCCAGCAGGUUUACUUUGAAAAAAUUAGAGUGCUCAAAGCAGGCUAAAAUGCCUGAAUAUUCGUGCAUGGAAUAAUAGAAUAGGAUGUCGAUCCUAUUUUGUUGGUUUUCGGGACUCGACAUAAUGAUAAAUAGGGACAGUCGGGGGCAUUUGUAUUCAAACGACAGAGGUGAAAUUCUUGGACCGUUUGAAGACAAACUACUGCGAAAGCAUUUGCCAAGAAUGUUUUCAUUAAUCAAGAACGAAAGUUAGAGGUUCGAAGGCGAUUAGAUACCGCCCUAGUUCUAACCAUAAACGAUGCCAGCUAGCGAUCUGCCUGCGUUUUUACUGUAGACUGGGCAGGAAGCUUCCGGGAAACCAAAGCAUUUGGGUUCCAGGGGAAGUAUGGUUGCAAAGCUGAAACUUAAAGGAAUUGACGGAAGGGCACCACCAGGAGUGGAG
This 568-nucleotide ribosomal RNA is filed under the name uncultured marine eukaryote. RNAcentral describes it as "SSU rRNA". It matches the Rfam family "Eukaryotic small subunit ribosomal RNA", at positions 612 to 1181 of the family's 1831-position model. The record is from RNAcentral.